CAGUCUUGCAGUUCUGGUUGCGAUGCUGUUUCUCGCCUUCGCAUGGCUUGGCCUUGUCAUCCCUUCAACCAUGGUGCUGUCGCUGGAAGAUCAUGGCCCGAUCGCCGGUAUGGCGUCGGCGCUGGGCGGUACGUUGCAGAUGAUCANUGAUUGUUGUCGCCAGCGCCUUCUUCAACGGAACGGCGCUGCCAAUGGUGACCACGAUUGC
This 208-nucleotide unclassified non-coding RNA is filed under the name Hevea brasiliensis (rubber tree). The record is from RNAcentral. Lineage: Eukaryota; Viridiplantae; Streptophyta; Magnoliopsida; Malpighiales; Euphorbiaceae.